GUUCACAUUACUGAACCUCCAAAACUCAGUUUCCCCAUUUGGCAGAAGGAGCCAAGAGGACCCAACCAGCAGGGUGGUUGCACCUAAUGUGAAAUCACAUCAUGGAAACCUCCUCAUGCAGAACCCAGUGGUCGGAGUCACUCGGAUGAGGAAAAGGCUGGGGAGCACCACCAUGGAGGAAUAGUGAAGAGCAGGCAUUUGAGAAGCUCUACUCGGCUGUGUGACCUUGGGCGGUUAUCUAAGCCACUGGGGUCAGCUUCCCCACCUGGAAAAGCAAGAUAGCAACAGAGGGUACUUCCUGCCACGGAGGCCGUCUCCUUUGCCUUCACAACAGUAUAAUGGGUACUAUUAUUCUUCCUGC
RNAcentral lists this long non-coding RNA (361 nucleotides) under Equus caballus (horse). Its description in RNAcentral is "lncRNA (ENSECAG00000048065.1)". The record is from RNAcentral. Lineage: Eukaryota; Metazoa; Chordata; Mammalia; Perissodactyla; Equidae.